This 450-nucleotide ribosomal RNA is filed under the name uncultured bacterium. Its description in RNAcentral is "partial 16S ribosomal RNA". It matches the Rfam family "Bacterial small subunit ribosomal RNA", at positions 29 to 523 of the family's 1533-position model. The record is from RNAcentral.
AACGAACGCUGGCGGCAGGCCUAACACAUGCAAGUCGAACGGAUGUAGCAAUACAUUAGUGGCGCACGGGAGAGUAACACGUGGGCAUCUACCUUUAGGUUCGGAAUAACGUCGGGAAACUGACGCUAAUACCGGAUAAGCCCUACGGGGGAAAGUUUUUCGCCAAAAGAUGAGCCCGCGCUAGAUUAGCUUGUUGGUGGGGUAAUGGCUCACCAAGGCUACGAUCUAUAGCUGGUCUGAGAGGAUGACCAGCCUCACUGGGACUGAGACACGGCCCAGACUCCUACGGGAGGCAGCAGUGGGGAAUAUUGGACAAUGGGGGAAACCCUGAUCCAGCCAUGCCGCGUGAAUGAUGAAGGCCUUCGGGUUGUAAAGUUCUUUUGGUAGGGACGAUGAUGACGGUACCUACAGAAUAAGCUCCGGCUAACUUCGUGCCAGCAGCCGCGGUAA